This 493-nucleotide small RNA is filed under the name Pongo abelii (Sumatran orangutan). RNAcentral describes it as "processed transcript". Lineage: Eukaryota; Metazoa; Chordata; Mammalia; Primates; Hominidae. The record is from RNAcentral.
CAGUGUCAUCCUGCAGAAUAAAGAAUCCCUGACGGAUAAAGUCAUCCUGGACGUGGGCUGUGGGACUGGGAUCAUCAGUCUCUUCUGUGCACACUAUGCGCGGCCUAAAGCGGAGAGUAGAUGACGGGCCGUGUGCAGGCUGGAUGUGCACUGACGGUGCCUCUGCUGCUGCAGGUGUACGCGGUGGAGGCCAGUGAGAUGGCACAGCACACGGGGCAGCUGGUCCUGCAGAAUGGCUUUGCCGACAUCAUCACCGUGUUCCAGCAGAAGGUGGAGGAUGUGGUGCUGCCUGAGAAGGUGGACGUGCUGGUGUCUGAGUGGAUGGGGACCUGCCUGCUGGUGAGGGCGGGUGUGCGGGCAGCUGGGGGCCGGAGCUGGGGGGCUUCUGAGCACAGGCUCGUCUGGGCCAACCUCAGGAUCUCAAGGGUCGUGCAUGAUUCAUUUUGAUGUUUUCCCUAAUGUGAGGUAUAAUUAAUUUCUUGUGUGGACAUUG